AAAUGAUGGAGAUAAAAGGCCGAGCGUACUACGACGAGCUCACUUGCAAAGGAGAAGGAGCCACCAGGUUUCAAGCAGGGCCUCGGAUUUUCCUCCUCCUCAGAAAAUGCCCCACUAAAGGCUCGGUUCUGCCUUCCUCGUCGUCAUCUUUUCUCACCACCAGAGCGAGAGAGGAGUUCGGAAAAGAAUAGAAGUAAAGAAGGGGGUAGGGAUACGGAUACGGAUACGGAUAGAGAGGUUAAAUUGGGGAGGGAAAGAAAUGGUGGGGUUGUUUAUUCAAUGAUGAUUGAGGGCUAUGACAAUUUGUAUGAUAAAAAGCUGUAUCUCUGUGUAAACGGGCACCAGCUCAAAGAGUCAAGAUCAAGAGUCAAAGAGUCAAAGCCAAGAUGAAACUUCAGCUUGCCGAAACUGGUAUCUCUUUCAUGGAGCUGUGUAAAAGAAUUUAGGUUCAGUCAUCACCUUCACCUUCCAUAAGUACAGAUAGGGAGCUGGGAGCAGAGGAAAUGAAAAGGAGAGCAAUGACAAUGACCUUGUUGGUCCGUUGGAAGCAUCUUAAGCGAGCAGGUCCUCGUCAUUCAUCAAUCAGUAUUCAGCAGAAGAAAUCUGUAUCAAGUGCUUCAAGAAAAGGAAUGAAAGCCUCGAUGGAGAAGGAAGACUUUGAACCUUCCCCGUGUACACCAGAAAGUAGUACCGAUAUCUACAGGCACAAUUUGCGUGGUUAUGGUCAAUUUGUUGAUUAGUUUCUUUAAUUUCCGUAGUACCCAUACAGUUCCCCUUGCUGAUUAGUUUCUUUAAUUUUCGCGGUUAUGGUCAAUUUGCCCCACUAGUGCCCACCAAAAGCAUCUGUUGAUCCCCAAUUGUUUCCCCUACUUCCACCAGCUUCAUUCGUUGAUACGGUUCCCGUGUUCCAGCCACCAGUGAUAGCACCACUAGAGCCUCCCCUGUCUGAACGGCCUUUACUAAAUACCUCAGCCAAUGCCCAAAAUCUGAAAUCACUUCGCCCGUUUCCUUCGCACGAAAGCCACUCAAGCCAUAUGGUCCAGAUCUCUGCCCUAGAGUGUUUGUUUCCUUCGCAAAAAAGCCAUUCCAGUCGUUUCUCGUCAACACAGAACCACUCAAGGCAAAGAGAAGCCAUUGAAGCUGCUCAGAGAUGGAGGCGACUUGAUGCAGCCAAGGCCCAACUCAAGCAGUUGCCUGUAGCAGCAGCACCAGCACAUCCUGCCGUGAGCUUGGAAAAAUAGAAACCUAAAUCUUGGAGGCUUGCUUGUCAAACUAUUGUUGGAAAUAAGGAAAAUUCUAGCAAGGAUGGAGCCUUCAUUUGAUGCGGAUCCCUUCUUCAUUACUCUCUUGCAAAGUGGUGGACAAGAGGAAGACAGCACCCCCUUCAAUAGCAUGCAUGAUAAUGUGGUGGUCCAACCAUCACAAGCUGAAGGUGAACAAAGGCCACCUAUUAAAAAAUCUCAACGAGGUGUGUCUUUCACCACUGAGGAGGAUAAUCUUUUUGUUUCAGCUUAGCUAAACAUUAGCUUUGAUGCUAUUCGAGGGACUGACCAAAAAUCCACACAAAUGUGGGAAAGAAUUUAUGAAUAAUAUCAUGAGUAUAAAAAACCAAACAACCUGAAUGUUCGAUUGCGUCAUUGACCAAUAUGUGGCAAUCGAUCCAAAAAUGCACAAACAAGUUUUGUGCUACUGUAGCACAAGUAGAGUCUUUGCAUCCAAGUGAUACCACAGAGGUCAAUAAGGUAUUAAUUUUGUUUUUCCUUUAGUUUUUUUUAUAUGCUUGGGCUUAUUUACAUACUAACUUUAUCACUUUGUUCAUUUAAAAUUGAGAAAGUAAAAAUAAUGUACAAAGAAAUUGAGAAGGCAAACUUUACUAUGGAGCAUUGUUGGUGUCUAUUGAGACACCGACCAAAAUGGCAGCAACAUCAGUCAACAUUGUCAACAAGGAGGAAACCACAUGGAAGAUGUCCGGCCAGAGCUAGCUUAACUCCAGACGGAGACGAUAUUUUGGAUGACAACGUGGAGGUCAUCCUUGAGAGACCUCCAGGCAAUAAGGCUGAAAAAGACAAGGAAAGAAAGAGGAAGUCUAGAGAUGAUGUAGAUUCUGAAUUUACCCAUGCCUUAGCUUGCAUGACUGAUGAAAGAAAUACAUUCAGGAUGGACAGAAGAGAAUUUAACAGCAAGCAAGAGCGGGAUAUAAAUGAACAUCUUGCACUUCAGAAGAAGUUCGAAGCUGAGAUAAUGAGAUUAGAUCUUGAUAGGAUGAAAUCAAAGCAACAAUUUUAUUUCCAACGUCUUCAGGAUGAAAUUUUAAUUUAUGAAAAAAAAAUUAAUAGAACAAAAAAAAAUUAUAUUAUUAAAUUUAUAAUAUUUUAUUAUUAUUUUGACUAAUAUAUGGGUAAUCCAAUAUGAGAAUAAGUUUUAAGUGGAAUAACCAAAUGCAAAAUCAUAUCAUAUUAUGCAAAUUUUGCAUUUGUAUUUGCAUAAUCGAAUGCUAAGAACAUUGGCAUUGAACUAGUCAAAUACCAAUGUAAAUCUAUAAUUUGGCUAGAUGUGAGGAAAAACAUUUAUAUUGGACUAGUCAAUGCUCCAAAGCUCAACAUAUGAGCUAUAGUAAAUUAGGGGAUCUCUCUAUUGUUGGCGAGUUACUAUUCACCAUCCAUCUCAUUAUUUUCUUAUUUCCAUCAACUUCUCCUCUUUCUUUCUCUCGUUCUUUUUCUUUCUCUUCAGACCCGCAACAUUCUUGUCGCCCUCUUCUCUCCCUCGUUUGGCCUUCUUCUCUCGCAUGAAUUGGUUGGAUUCUCCCGUCUUCUUCCAAGUUAGGCCAAACGGUAACUCUUCUUUGCUUUUCUCUCCCUCUUCUCUGUGCAUUUUCUCUUAGUCUCUCAUCUCCCUCUUCUCUCAUUUUUUGCUCCGAUUCUAAUGUACUCCUAAAAAUCUCUAAUUUUCUCUUUAAUAAGCAAUUAAACGGAGUCGUUGUGGCGGCAAAUCCAUCAUUCCUCUCUUAGUACAUAGCUGCUCUUCCUUUUUCCCUUCUCAGAUAUGCACAUUAAAGCUCUUUUUUUCCUACCCUUAUGUAAAUUUUACUCACUAAAACUAAACUUCACCACUGCCAAUUUAUUCUUUUGUUUGCUUCGUUUUGUCUGUGAUUUUCUUUGUGAAAAUUUUAUUUUUAUGUUUUGGUUUAGAUAGGUCCCCUUAAUUAUGUGAUAUAUGAAAAUAUGUGCCAAUAGAUUUGGCUGUUUUGGAUCAGAAUAGCUAAUAGAUUCAAUUGUUUUGGCUAUUGAUGGUUUGGAACCUUUUAAUUAUCCUGCUACAAUUGAAGUCACAUUGAUGUAUAGUUUUUUCCCCAUCUACAUAUUUGCAAGGACUUGCAUUUAUAGAAUUGAUUCUGCCUUUGUUUGUUUGGACAAGAAAUUGAGGAUGAGAAACUUAAGCUGGACCAGUGCUUUUUAAGCCUCUAAAUGAAGGUAACUUAAAUCUGCUCUGUUUAUCUUCUAAAUCCUAAAAAGUGGACCAAUUUAACUAAAGACAAUUUCCAUGUAGUCUUUCCAUUACAUCAACUAGCUUAAAGAAAUCAAAAACUUCAUUUCCUUCCAUGCCAAAGAUGUCAUAAGCCAUUUUAAUCACGUUAGUUCGCUUUAAAUAGCAAACCAGUUAAAUAAGUGUUUGUUUUGUCCAUAUUCUGUCUUUUAUUUGCAGGUUUGUCAUCAAAUAUAUGUUUGUGAUUCUACAUGCAACAAUGGUGUGAAUUCUUUUAUUACUUUGCCUUGUUUGUAAGUGCCACAAAAGGUAAAUUUUUAAAUUUUCAGAUGCAGGAGUUUGGCUUGUUUUUACAGCAAGCUUGUGGAAUGGUGCUAUCUAUCUAAACUCACUAAUAUUCCAAUGUCCUAUUUCUAAACUGUCAUAUUGAAUGAACUAUGCAGUGACUGAGGUGGAGAAGAAUGCAUAUUAUAAUGGGGAUUAUGGCAAGGGUGGUUGUGUUUGUAGAGUCUGUUUCCAGCUGCAAGGGUGGUUGUUCUGUUUCAUAUACUAAAAAUGUGUAGAAUUCAAACUAAAGAAGAAGAAGUUGGAUGAUGUGCAUUUUAUGUAUGAUCUAGUAUUUGGAUCCUUGAUUUUUCCUUAUUAUUUAUAGGGUUUCAUUAGCUCAAGCGAAAGUUGUUGUGCAUGAAGUAGUACUGCAUUCAGAUUAUAAAGUUGUAAUAUGUAGGAAAAAAUGA
Molecule: RNA transcript, 4220 nt
Organism: Juglans regia (Persian walnut)
Lineage: Eukaryota; Viridiplantae; Streptophyta; Magnoliopsida; Fagales; Juglandaceae
Exons: 8
Source: RefSeq, a predicted model, not a curated record